RNAcentral lists this long non-coding RNA (1987 nucleotides) under Theobroma cacao (cacao). Its description in RNAcentral is "long non-coding RNA (TCAC_LNC003368)". The record is from RNAcentral. Lineage: Eukaryota; Viridiplantae; Streptophyta; Magnoliopsida; Malvales; Malvaceae.
AUAUAUAAUAGCACACUAAACCAGGUAUACAAAAAUAUUCUACAAUGACAUGUGGGUCCCAAUAAUCGAAAAUAUACAAGACUGUAGACCUUCGAUUUCUAAGGAUGUAAAUCCAAAAGCAACCCUCGACAAAAUCGGCUGUCUACAGACUGUUUUGAGCCUGAAAUGGGUAAAAAGAAAGGGGUGAGUUUUUAUAAAUCCAGUGAGUAAGCAAAGUUCAUCUACAACAUCUAAAGUCGAGUAAAUGAAGACAGUUAAAUCAUCCCAUCAUAAUAUGAUUCAUAACAUUUAAAACUCAUUUCAAUUCAUAUAAAACAAUUACAUUUCAUCAAAAUAAUCAACAAGGCUUAUGAUUCUCUUAAAAACUUGGCUUGUGCCAAAACUCAUACUUAGGGACAUCUUGGCCCGGGCAUCCAACCGAGUCUGCCAAGGAUGUUAAAACGACAUAUACCCAUAAAACAUGUUUUUACUUUUAAAAUAUAGCUAUUCCUUGGUGUUGGCUAAGUUUCAUUCUCACGUGGUAGUUCGGCGUGAAGUGAACUCUAAACUUACCUUAAGAGAUACCUUUCGUGCCUCUCAUACUAAGGUAAAAUAUAAAGGGGUUUACCGUGCCCCUCUAAUAGGCUGGUUCACGAAAACCCGCCCACUACAGUAAGCUAAUUAAUUACCCUACCAAAUCAAUAAACAUUUUGACAGGAUGACAUGGCUAAUGUGAUAUUACCUAACCUGUCAAGGUAAAACAAAACAGUUCAUAUAUUCCACACAAACACAAAUCUAACCAUUCAUGCCAUCACAUUAUCAUAAGCCAUCAAUUCAAACCAUAUGUCAAAACAUAUAUAUAACACAAGUAUAUAGUCUCCACUUACUCAAUUUCCAAAACCAUGAUUCAAUUUCAAGCAAGUUAUAAAUCUCAUUUCGUUUAACCAAUAUUUCAAUUUUAAAACAUAAUAAUUUACAAUUUAAAUUUAUUAUUCUUUAAAAUCAUAAAAACGAGUAUAAACUACUUUAGAUAGUUAAGAUGAUCGUCCGAUUACUCACAAUAACGGGAGUUCGGAGUACUCCUAUUCUUGGUCCUCGGGUACGAUAUCUUUACCCUUAUCAGAGGGCUCACUUCCUAUACAUAAUACACGAUACGUAAUUCAAUAUAUUUGUGCCAAACUGUUAUAAAACUAUUUCAGGCUCUAUAUGAAUACAUGAAAUUGAAUGAGAAUUGUUCGAAAUCACUUAAAGAUGGUGUUCUACGUGAGUUCAAUUAUGAUUGGACUGAAUUUGUAUUCAACCUAACUCGAACUAUACACUGUUGAAUUAACCAAAACAUUCGAUUCAACUUCAAAUAUAUUCAUUGCACUUCCAAUAUUCCAAAUACACCAAAAACCUCAAUGAGCUUGAUUGUGACUUAAUUCAUCAUAACCAAAAUUCAUUCCGAUUCUAAACUAACGUGCUAAUCAGUGUUAACACAGUCCAAUAAAUCCAUCUACAUCAUUAGGAAUCAAAUCCAAGUCCAUUUACUAUGAUUUUCUCAUUAUUGUUCAAGUCGUUUACUAAAGGAACUAUACUUUUUGAUAGUCGUUUUCGAUAUCCGAUACCAUAAAUCAUCAAUUACGAGCUAAAUAACAUGAAAUACAACAAAAUCCAUCAUCAACAUGUCAUCUAUAAAAUUCGGCCAAAGAGGGAUGCUGAAGGGCAUGUGAUUUUCUUGCUUGUUUUUCAUGCCAAACAUCAUCAAACAACUAAAAAUACUAAGAUAUCAUGAAAUCUAGCAAAAUCUAUCAUCAAAACCUCUCUCCCUAUGUUCAGCCAACAAGUAUUCCCUCAUAGAAACUUGUGUUUCAACCAUAGAAAAUGAAAAAGAAAGCAUGGAAAAGGUAGAUUUUAAGCUAAAAUUGAAAAAUCUUACCUUUGAUUGCUUUGUUCUUUCAAAUUCAAUAAAUUUCUCUUGAAUUUUCCUCUCUAGGGUUUGUUUCUAUUAUUUUCUCUUUGUUCUUUG